UACAGAGGGUGCGAGCGUUAAUCGGAAUUACUGGGCGUAAAGCGUGCGCAGGCGGUUUUGUAAGACAGGCGUGAAAUCCCCGGGCUUAACCUGGGAACUGCGUUUGUGACUGCAAGGCUAGAGUACGGCAGAGGGGGGUGGAAUUCCACGUGUAGCAGUGAAAUGCGUAGAGAUGUGGAGGAACACCAAUGGCGAAGGCAGCCCCCUGGGUCGAUACUGACGCUCAUGCACGAAAGCGUGGGUAGCAAACAGG
This 253-nucleotide ribosomal RNA is filed under the name uncultured bacterium. RNAcentral describes it as "partial 16S ribosomal RNA". It matches the Rfam family "Bacterial small subunit ribosomal RNA", at positions 524 to 776 of the family's 1533-position model. The record is from RNAcentral.